Molecule: ribosomal RNA, 440 nt
Filed under: uncultured bacterium
Lineage: Bacteria
Description: partial 16S ribosomal RNA
Rfam family: Bacterial small subunit ribosomal RNA
Source: RNAcentral
CCUACGGGUGGCAGCAGUGGGGAAUAUUGCACAAUGGGGGAAACCCUGAUGCAGCGACGCCGCGUGAGUGAAGAAGUCACUCCUUAUGUAAAGCUCUAUCUGCAGGGAAGUAAAUCACGUUACCUGUGUAACUUUCCCCGUCUAACUACGUUCCAGCCGCCGCGGUACGACGGAGGGGGCAAGCGUUAUCCGGAUUUACUGGGUGUUAAGGGAGCGUAGACGGAAGGGCAAGUCUGGAGGGAAAGGCGGGGGCUCAACCCCCGGACUGCUCUGGCAACUGUACGGCUGGAGUGCAGGGAAGGUAAGUGGAAGUCGUAGUGUAGCGGUGAAAUGCGUAGAUAUUAGGAAGAACACCAGUGGCGAAGGCAGCUUGCUGGACUGUAACUGACGUUGAGGCUCGAAAGCGUGGGGAGCGAACAGGAUUAGAUACCCUGGUAGUC